Manis pentadactyla (Chinese pangolin) is the source of this 317-nucleotide long non-coding RNA. RefSeq lists it as uncharacterized. NCBI's taxonomy places the organism in Eukaryota, Metazoa, Chordata, Mammalia, Pholidota, Manidae. The transcript is spliced from 3 exons. The record is from RefSeq and is a predicted model, not a curated record.
GGAGGGGCUCCAGGCCCAGAGGUGCCGCCUGAGCUGGGGGGCCCUGACCACAGCCACCAUGCAGAGAGCAGGUCUCCAGAGAACCUGUCCCCAGAGACCACAUGGAGGUUUUGAGACCCUGUGCCUGAGGAGUGAGCUGAAGGUCAGGAGCUGCCAGUGGCCACAAGAUCAAGGUCCCUUUCCCCCAGUAUCCCCUGGGCUGGAGCAUGAUGGGUCCUUCCCUAAACACACCAUGACCAUACUGGCUCUUGGAUGGUAGCUGAGAGCUCAGGCUCUGGCAUCGGGUGGGCGUGAAUCCUCAUUCCAGCUGUGAGAGC